RNAcentral lists this ribosomal RNA (301 nucleotides) under uncultured bacterium. Its description in RNAcentral is "partial 16S ribosomal RNA". It matches the Rfam family "Bacterial small subunit ribosomal RNA", at positions 509 to 807 of the family's 1533-position model. The record is from RNAcentral.
CAGUAGCCGCGGUAAUACGUAGGUGGCAAGCGUUGUCCGGAAUUAUUGGGCGUAAAGGGCUCGCAGGCGGUUUCUUAAGUCUGAUGUGAAAGCCCCCGGCUCAACCGGGGAGGGUCAUUGGAAACUGGGAAACUUGAGUGCAGAGGAGGAGAGUGGAAUUCCACGUGUAGCGGUGAAAUGCGUAGAGAUGUGGAGGAACACCAGUGGCGAAGGCGACUCUCUGGUCUGUAACUGACGCUGAGGAGCGAAAGCGUGGGGAGCGAACAGGAUUAGAUACCCGCGUAGUCCCUGUCUCUUAUAC